UACGUAGGGGGCAAGCGUUGUCCGGAAUUAUUGGGCGUAAAGCGCGCGCAGGCGGCUCUUUAAGUCUGGUGUUUAAUCCCGAGGCUCAACUUCGGGUCGCACUGGAAACUGGGGGACUUGAGUGCAGGAGAGAAGAGUGGAAUUCCUCGUGUAGCGGUGAAAUGCGCAGAUAUCAGGAGGAACACCGGUGGCGAAGGCGGGUCUCUGGGCCGAUAUUGACGCUGAGGAGCGAAAGCGUGGGGAGCAAACAGG
RNAcentral lists this ribosomal RNA (252 nucleotides) under uncultured bacterium. Its description in RNAcentral is "partial 16S ribosomal RNA". It matches the Rfam family "Bacterial small subunit ribosomal RNA", at positions 524 to 776 of the family's 1533-position model. The record is from RNAcentral.